GGAUGAACGCUAGCGGCAGGCUUAACACAUGCAUUUCGAGGGGCAGCGGGGAGGAAGCUUGCUUUCUCCGCCGGCGACCGGCGCACGGGUGAGUAACACGUAUGCAACCUGCCCCUGUCAGGGGGACAACCCGCCGAAAGGCGGGCUAAACCCGCGUACAUGCCACCGGGGCAUCCCGGAGGCAGGAAAGGCUUCGGCCGGACAGGGAUGGGCAUGCGGCGCAUUAGGCAGUAGGCGGGGUAACGGCCCACCUAACCGACGAUGCGUAGGGGUUCUGAGAGGAAGGUCCCCCACACUGGUACUGAGACACGGACCAGACUCCUACGGGAGGCAGCAGUGAGGAAUAUUGGUCAAUGGUCGGGAGACUGAACCAGCCAAGCCGCGUGAGGGAGGAAGGUACAGAGUAUCGUAAACCUCUUUUGUCAGGGAACAAAGGCGGGGACGUGUCCCCGGAUGAGUGUACCUGAAGAAAAAGCAUCGGCUAACUCCGUGCCAGCAGCCGCGGUAAUACGGAGGAUGCGAGCGUUAUCCGGAUUUAUUGGGUUUAAAGGGUGCGCAGGCGGUCUGUUAAGUCAGCGGUCAAAGCCCGGGGCUCAACCCCGGCCCGCCGUUGAAACUGGCAGUCUCGAGUUGGAGAGAAGUAUGCGGAAUGCGCGGUGUAGCGGUGAAAUGCAUAGAUAUCGCGCAGAACUCCGAUUGCGAAGGCAGCAUGCCGGCUCCACACUGACGCUGAGGCACGAAAGCGUGGGUAUCGAACAGGAUUAGAUACCCUGGUAGUCCACGCAGUAAACGAUGAAUGCUGGCUGUCCGGGGGGAUUGACCCCUGGGUGGCGAAGCGAAAGCGAUAAGCAUUCCACCUGGGGAGUACGCCGGCAACGGUGAAACUCAAAGGAAUUGACGGGGGCCCGCACAAGCGGAGGAACAUGUGGUUUAAUUCGAUGAUACGCGAGGAACCUUACCCGGGCUCAAACGGGGAGUGACUCAGGCAGAGACGCCUGUUUCCCACGGGACACUCCCCGAGGUGCUGCAUGGUUGUCGUCAGCUCGUGCCGUGAGGUGUCGGCUUAAGUGCCAUAACGAGCGCAACCCCCGCGUGCAGUUGCUAACAGAUAACGCUGAGGACUCUGCACGGACUGCCGGCGCAAGCCGCGAGGAAGGCGGGGAUGACGUCAAAUCAGCACGGCCCUUACGUCCGGGGCGACACACGUGUUACAAUGGGUGGUACAGCGGGAAGCCAGGCGGCGACGCCGAGCGGAACCCGAAAUCCACUCUCAGUUCGGAUCGGAGUCUGCAACCCGACUCCGUGAAGCUGGAUUCGCUAGUAAUCGCGCAUCAGCCAUGGCGCGGUGAAUACGUUC
This 1357-nucleotide ribosomal RNA is filed under the name uncultured bacterium. Its description in RNAcentral is "partial 16S ribosomal RNA". It matches the Rfam family "Bacterial small subunit ribosomal RNA", at positions 27 to 1373 of the family's 1533-position model. The record is from RNAcentral.